Molecule: ribosomal RNA, 509 nt
Filed under: uncultured bacterium
Lineage: Bacteria
Description: partial 16S ribosomal RNA
Rfam family: Bacterial small subunit ribosomal RNA
Source: RNAcentral
GACGAACGCUGGCGGCGUGCUUAACACAUGCAAGUCGAACGGAAAGGCCCUGCUUUUGUGGGGUGCUCGAGUGGCGAACGGGUGAGUAACACGUGAGUAACCUGCCCUUGACUUUGGGAUAACUUCAGGAAACUGGGGCUAAUACCGGAUAGGAGCUCCUGCUGCAUGGUGGGGGUUGGAAAGUUUCGGCGGUUGGGGAUGGACUCGCGGCUUAUCAGCUUGUUGGUGGGGUAGUGGCUUACCAAGGCUUUGACGGGUAGCCGGCCUGAGAGGGUGACCGGCCACAGUGGGACGGCGAAGCGGACCAGACGGCGAGGAGAGGGAGAAGGGGGAAAUAGGGACAAGCGGGCGGGAGCCUGAGGCAGCACGGCAGGGUGCGGGAUGGCGGCGCGCGGGUUGUAACCCGCUGUAGCGAGUGAAGGAGGGUGAGUGAAGGAAAGGGGCAAAGAAACACCGGCAAACUACGCGACAGAAGAAGCCGUAAUAAGGGGAAGAGCAAACGACUGAAC